RNAcentral lists this ribosomal RNA (399 nucleotides) under uncultured Actinomycetes bacterium. RNAcentral describes it as "bacterial SSU rRNA". It matches the Rfam family "Bacterial small subunit ribosomal RNA", at positions 359 to 769 of the family's 1533-position model. The record is from RNAcentral. Lineage: Bacteria; Bacillati; Actinomycetota; Actinomycetes.
GAAUAUUGCACAAUGGGCGCAAGCCUGAUGCAGCGACGCCGCGUGAGGGAUGAAGGCUUUCGGGUCGUAAACCUCUUUCAGUGGGGAAGAAGCGCAAGUGACGGUACCCACACAAGAAGGCCCGGCCAACUACGUGCCAGCAGCCGCGGUAAUACGUAGGGGCCAAGCGUUAUCCGGAUUUAUUGGGCGUAAAGAGCUCGUAGGCGGUUUGGUAAGUCGGUCGUGAAAGUCCGAGGCUCAACCUCGGAAUGCCGGUCGAUACUGCCAUGACUAGGGUUCGGUAGAGGAGAGUGGAAUUCUCGGUGUAGCGGUGAAAUGCGCAGAUAUCGAGAGGAACACCAGUAGCGAAGGCGGCUCUCUGGGCCGAUACCGACGCUGAGGAGCGAAAGCGUGGGGAGC